AGUGCUAUGAAGUCAGUUUGUGAGGGCAGGCUUUUCAAUGGGGCACAUGCUUUGGAUAUUGAUAAUAAUAAUUGAAUGUAAAUUUCCAGUAAUUUCAUAACAGUUUUCAUUGUUAGAGGAAGUCUAAAAGUCAACUUGGCCUUUGAAAGGAAAGUCCUGUCACCAGAACUUAGACCCAAAUGCUACUUUCCAAGUACUCUUUAUCUUCUAAGCAUUACUGUAAGGUGUUGUCUGUGCUUAGAUCUUAUUUAGGACUCUGCCCAUUAGCAAAAUACAUAGGUUCAGGGAUUUUUCUUUAAUGUGUGUUUGCUCAUAAGGCUUUCCAUUAUCUUUCAUGUGUAAUGGCUUGACUGAAAUGCAUGUACAUGUUUUCAGCUAAGUCGCAGUGGGGGAAUAUGUGCCUGAAAAUAAACCGCUGCAGUUGGAACUGAUUAAUUCCUUGAUUGGCAGACUCAGGAAAUAGAGUCCUGAAUGUGAAAUGUCUUUGUUGUUUGGCCUUGGCUGAGACCUGUAGUUUUAACCUUGACUCUUCCGCCUGACUUUGUGGCCUGCAGACAAGGUUUGAAGAACUGAACUGAUAGGAAGACAUCCCCUCCAUCAGUUCAGGCUUGUCUCUGCUUUAAUCCUGUGUGAGCUAUCCCUGUAACCAGGCUGAGGCCUAUCUGAAUAUCGGGGAGAUUUGCUCUUUACUAUCGUAGCUCCCUGCUAAGGAUGGUGCCUUAUCAUGACUGGCACGAUUUCAGUGCUUUCCUUCGCAGUGCAGAGAAUAUGACAGGCAGCCAUGGCUAAUCCCUUGAGAGAAUGUUCUCCUGCUGAGGUACACAGUGAAAUUGGAAUGCUGCAAAUAAUUUGAAAAAGAUUAUUGUUCUUUACCUCAUGUUCUCAUUCUGCUUGUUGAUGCGUAGGGACAGAUUCAAGUUAGCAUUACUUAACCUCCUGUAAGAGCUAGGAACAUAGCCUUAAGUUAAGUUCAACAAUAGCUUGUUGGUUUCUUCUGGUAGACACUACCACUGUUGGAUGAGAAAUCCAAGUUCAGCAUCCUGAGGCCAAUGGCCUCACUUCUGGGGACUCUGAGGUAAUCUUUUGUGAAGCUCAUCUUUCAUGUUACUGUGCUGCUGUGUUAUCAAAAGCCACAGACAGGUUCAUCUCCAUCUGUGUAAAACUGCAUUCUGUGAGACUUGGGUCACAUAUGGGGAGGUUGUGCUUGGAGCCACACCAGUAAAACCUUUCCUCUAGCUCCUGGGAGCAGAUCCUAUUUGUUGGAGCUGUUUGAAUAGAGGACACCAGGUCCUGCAAAGUAAGAGUGUGGGUGUUUUGUGCUGGUCGCUGAGCACCAGCAUGUUAAUGUACAAAGGGUUGAAUCUAAAAGGUGGCUUGUGUGUCCCACAUCUAACUUCACUGUCUCUGUUGCUCCUUCUCCCAUUGAAUCCUUCCAGUGUUGACACCGUGUGUUUAGGAGACAACUGAACUUCUGCACUGAAGCAGUCUGCAACAGACCAUGGUGACAGCAACCUUCUGGAAGGCAAGGGUGUAAACCAGGGAGAGAUUGAAAGUUGUUUCACGAAGUUAGAAAAGUGAUUUGCUGGAGAACAAACUUGGUGUGAGGAAAAGGUGCACACGCGCUCUGCAGAAGGCAGAAAGACCUCAGAAGACACUGACUUUGUACCAGGGACUGAAUGUUGCACAUUGGGGAAAACUCACUGAAACCACUUGUCUCUUCAGGAUAUUAUCAGCAAUGACUGUGACUUCUCCAUAUUCUCCUGAUCUAUAGGACAUCAGUGUGGCAGAUCUUAAUGAUUUAUUGACCAUUUGCACUUUUCGUGUCAGGCCUUAUCCGUUUUUUCUCUUUCCUCCUGUAUCUUUUUCUUAUGUUUUGCAAAUCAAGCAAGCUUUCCAUAAAUGCUGUGUUCAGAAGGCAGCAGGUGGUGGAAUACAAAAGGCAGUGUUUGCAUUCCACCAUCAGGAAGUAUAUUCACUGUAAGUAUGAUGUGGUUGGAGUAGCACAAGAGCGAUGUGAUUGUAUUUACCUUUGAAGCAUUUUUUCAUGUCAGGACCCAGCCACAUGUUGUCAGGACAGGCACAGGUGUACUUGGGAGAAUGGGGAGAGAUCUGAGGUGCAGGGAGACACAGAUACUCACAGCCUCCGUUUGGCUGGGGGCUGAGCUCGCAGGAGUCUGGAGCUGUUCAAGGAUGGAAGAAAAGACAAGUUAUUUUUGUAAUUAUUUAGUUCUUGAUCUUGGCAAAGAAAUACCAGUUCAAGAAGACUCGUUUCCACUCCCUACCUCAGUUAAUUGGGCUGCUUAAGCACCUCUACAGUUUGGAGUAGAGUGAGACCUUACACACUGCUGCCAGAACUGCCCAAAUGUGAGACGAAUGGCAGCAGCACAGUGACAAGGGUAACUCACUGUUAUCAGAGGUGUUAAUUAAGCAGCUAUUAACAAAUUGCAGACUUCUCAAUAAUUGCUGCUGAAUUAAUCAUGCAGGAACUUCAGACUUUAGGCACUGAUUUCACAUUUAUUACCUGUGCAUUCUCUCUCGUUGAGAGCCACCAGGAAGCAUACCAUUUACUAGCUCAAAUAAACCUGAUGUAGGCCUUACCUUUGGGCUGCUUUAACUCAUGGAAUACCACGAUGUCAUGAGGAUUAUUGAGGUUUUCUGCCAGAACGGAGAUGUCCAAACCAUUCAGCCUGUUGGCGCUGAAGAUCGCUUCGUUCUCCAGGUCAGUCCAGAACACUCUGUCCUGCAGGAAACAUCGGAUUUCUGACCCCCUCAGAUCCAACUCAAGUUGGAUUAAACUCCACUAGUCACAGAGCCACUGCGCUGCGUUCCGACCUUGUGGCACCUUUGGUUCAUGCUACUUCUGUCGGCCGCUUUUUUGGGCACUGUCAUUUCUAGUGUUCAAAAGUACAGCAAUCCUACAUGUGCACAAAGAGCUCAGCAAUUUUAGUGGCUGUGAGACUGAGGUGAGGGAGCAGAAAUUUGGUUAAGUACAGAAGAGUUGCAUCCAUUCUGUUUCUGAACUGUGUGGUUUUUAAAAGACAGGCUGGAGCACAAGCAGAACCAAAAGGCCACACCAAAAACUUUUUUGCUGAUUUUUUUCUCCUUUCCAAAGAUAAGACCUGCUUUAAACAGGUAUCUAUGAAGAGGCCAGUGCCUAGAGCACACCUGGAAGAUGAGUAUCUAUUUCUCUUCUUUAUUAAUAUCUUUUGCAUGGCACACUAUGAAUGAAGAUGCAAAAUAACUGGUCAAGGAGGUACACAGGAACUGCAGUUAUCAAACUGUAUUUAGUUGCUCACUCAGCUAUGUGUGCUGCUGCCUGCUAAUUCCACAUGUAUUUCAGUAAGGAGAGCCACACUGCUGGAGAACAAGGGUUAUUUAUCAAAAUUAUAAUGAAAUAAAAAUUACAAUUAUUAAAUUA
Molecule: long non-coding RNA, 3418 nt
Organism: Strigops habroptila (Kakapo)
Lineage: Eukaryota; Metazoa; Chordata; Aves; Psittaciformes; Psittacidae
Exons: 2
Source: RefSeq, a predicted model, not a curated record